This 71-nucleotide transfer RNA is filed under the name Capra hircus (goat). It matches the Rfam family "tRNA". From Rfam's summary of the family: Transfer RNA (tRNA) molecules are approximately 80 nucleotides in length. Their secondary structure includes four short double-helical elements and three loops (D, anti-codon, and T loops). RNAcentral also lists the same sequence under 1 other name. Lineage: Eukaryota; Metazoa; Chordata; Mammalia; Artiodactyla; Bovidae. The record is from Rfam by way of RNAcentral.
GGGAGUGUAACUCAGUGGUAGAGUGUGUGCUUAGCACGCAUGAGGCCCCAGGUUCAAUCCCUGCACCUCCA